Non-coding RNA from Ictidomys tridecemlineatus (thirteen-lined ground squirrel), 97 nucleotides. Lineage: Eukaryota; Metazoa; Chordata; Mammalia; Rodentia; Sciuridae. The record is from Rfam.
AUCCUUUUGUGGUUCAUUAGCUUUAUUGUUCACAUUAUUGUACGAGAUGUUCCUCCUUCAAACCUUGCUGUUACAUUGGCGCAUUAGCACUCUGAUG